Molecule: ribosomal RNA, 465 nt
Filed under: Vreelandella stevensii
Lineage: Bacteria; Pseudomonadati; Pseudomonadota; Gammaproteobacteria; Oceanospirillales; Halomonadaceae
Description: partial 16S ribosomal RNA
Rfam family: Bacterial small subunit ribosomal RNA
Source: RNAcentral
CCUACGGGGGGCUGCAGUGGGGAAUAUUGGAUAAUGGGGGCAACCCUGAUCCAGCCAUGCCGCGUGUGUGAAGAAGGCCCUCGGGUUGUAAAGCACUUUCAGUGAGGAAGAACGCCUGGUGGUUAAUACCCAUCAGGAAAGACAUCACUCACAGAAGAAGCACCGGCUAACUCCGUGCCAGCAGCCGCGGUAAUACGGAGGGUGCGAGCGUUAAUCGGAAUUACUGGGCGUAAAGCGCGCGUAGGUGGCUUGAUAAGCCGGUUGUGAAAGCCCCGGGCUCAACCUGGGAACGGCAUCCGGAACUGUCAAGCUAGAGUGCAGGAGAGGAAGGUAGAAUUCCCGGUGUAGCGGUGAAAUGCGUAGAGAUCGGGAGGAAUACCAGUGGCGAAGGCGGCCUUCUGGACUGACACUGACACUGAGGUGCGAAAGCGUGGGUAGCAAACAGGAUUAGAUACCCGUGUAGUC